This 554-nucleotide ribosomal RNA is filed under the name uncultured euryarchaeote. RNAcentral's name for it is "bacterial SSU rRNA". It matches the Rfam family "Archaeal small subunit ribosomal RNA", at positions 325 to 879 of the family's 1478-position model. The record is from RNAcentral. Lineage: Archaea; Methanobacteriati; Methanobacteriota.
ACGGGGUGCAGCAGGCGCGAACACUUUACAAUGCGGGAAACCGCGAUAAGGGAACCCCGAGUGCCAGCACCAAGUGUUGGCUGUCCAGAUGAUUAAUUCUCAUCUGAUAGCAAGGGCCGGGCAAGACCGGUGCCAGCCGCCGCGGUAACACCGGCGGCCCGAGUGGUAACCGUUUUUAUUGGGUCUAAAGGGUCCGUAGCCGGUCUGAUAAGUCCUUUGGGAAAUCUGGCAGCUUAACUGUCAGGCUUCCAAGGGAUACUGUCAGGCUUGGGACCGGGAGAGGUAAGGGGUACUCCAGGGGUAGGAGUGAAAUCUUGUAAUCCCUGGGGGACCAUCUGUGGCGAAGGCGCCUUACCAGAACGGGUCCGACGGUGAGGGACGAAAGCUAGGGGAGCAAACCGGAUUAGAUACCCGGGUAGUCCUAGCUGUAAACGAUGCUCGCUAGGUGUCAGGCACGGUGCGUCCGUGUUUGGUGCCGCAGGGAAGCCGUGAAGCGAGCCACCUGGGAAGUACGGUCGCAAGGCUGAAACUUAAAGGAAUUGGCGGGGGAGCAC